GAUGAAGGAACGUAGCGAAAUGCGAUAAGUAAUGUGAAUUGCAGAAUUCAGUGAAUCAUCGAAUCUUUGAACGCACAUUGCGCCCAUUAGCAUUCUAGUGGGCAUGCCUGUUCGAGCGUCAUUUCAACCCUUAAGCCCUGUUGCUUAGCGUUGGGAGCCUACAGUACUGUAGCUCCCCAAAGUUAGUGGCGGAGUCGGUUUCACACUCUAGACGUAGUAAAUUUUUCUCGUCUGUAGUUGAGCCGGUCCCCUGCCGUAAAACAUCCAAUUUAUCAAGGUUGACCUCGGAUCAGGUAGGAAUACCCGCUGAACUUAAGCAUAUCAAUAAGCGGAGGA
This 336-nucleotide unclassified non-coding RNA is filed under the name soil metagenome. RNAcentral's name for it is "partial contains 5.8S ribosomal RNA, internal transcribed spacer 2, and large subunit ribosomal RNA". The stretch from base 1 to 121 matches the Rfam family "5.8S ribosomal RNA", at positions 35 to 154 of the family's 154-position model. The record is from RNAcentral.